ACGGGCACUUCGGUGCUAGUGGCAGACGGGUGAGUAACACGUGGGAACGUACCUUUCGGUUCGGAAUAAUUCAGGGAAACUUGGACUAAUACCGGAUACGCCCUUCGGGGGAAAGAUUUAUCGCCGAUAGAUCGGCCCGCGUCUGAUUAGCUAGUUGGUGAGGUAAUGGCUCACCAAGGCGACGAUCAGUAGCUGGUCUGAGAGGAUGAUCAGCCACAUUGGGACUGAGACACGGCCCAAACUCCUACGGGAGGGAGCAGUGGGGAAAAUUGGACAAUGGGCGCAAGCCUGAUCCAGCCAUGCCGCGUGAGUGAUGAAGGCCUUAGGGUUGUAAAGUCUUUUGUCCGGGAAGAUAAUGACUGUACCGGAAGAAUAAGCCCCGGCUAACUUCGUGCCAGCAGCCGCGGUAAUUCGAAGGGGGCUAGCGUUGCUCUUAAUCACUGGGCGUAAAGGGCGCCUAGGCGGACUCUUAAGUCGGGGGGGAAAGCCCAGGGGUCACCCCUGGAAUUUCCUUC
RNAcentral lists this ribosomal RNA (515 nucleotides) under bacterium KR 1998/3_97. RNAcentral's name for it is "bacterial SSU rRNA". It matches the Rfam family "Bacterial small subunit ribosomal RNA", at positions 66 to 628 of the family's 1533-position model. The record is from RNAcentral.